This 408-nucleotide ribosomal RNA is filed under the name uncultured bacterium. RNAcentral describes it as "partial 16S ribosomal RNA". It matches the Rfam family "Bacterial small subunit ribosomal RNA", at positions 28 to 526 of the family's 1533-position model. The record is from RNAcentral.
GACGAACGCUGGCGGCGUGCUUAACACAUGCAAGUCGAACGAAGUGGCGAACGGGUGAGUAACGCGUAAUCAACCUGCCCUUCAGAGGGGGACAACAGUUGGAAACGACUGCUAAUACCGCAUAUUGAAGGCGGGGAUUGCGUCUGCUUAGUUAGUUGGAGGGGUAACGGCCCACCAAGGCGAGGAUCAGUAGCCGGUCUGAGGGUAUGAACGGCCACAUUGGGACUGAGACACGGCCCAAACUCCUACGGGAGGCAGCAGUGGGGAAUCUUCCGCAAUGGACGAAAGUCUGACGGAGCAACGCCGCGUGAGUGAUGACGGCCUUCGGGUUGUAAAGCUCUGUUAAUCGGGACGCGGUACCGGAAUAGAAAGCCACGGCUAACUACGUGCCAGCAGCCGCGGUAAUAC